Molecule: ribosomal RNA, 174 nt
Filed under: Caenorhabditis tropicalis
Lineage: Eukaryota; Metazoa; Nematoda; Chromadorea; Rhabditida; Rhabditidae
Description: partial 28S ribosomal RNA
Rfam family: Eukaryotic large subunit ribosomal RNA
Source: RNAcentral
AUCAACCUGAACUCAGUCGUGAUUACCCGCUGAACUUAAGCAUAUCAUUUAGCGGAGGAAAAGAAACUAAAAAGGAUUCCCUUAGUAACGGCGAGUGAAACGGGAAGAGCCCAGCGCCGAAUCGUUCAGUCUUUGGCUGCUACGACAUGUGGCGUAUAGGUGUAGUCUUCCAGC